GAUGAAGAACGUAGCGAAAUGCGAUAAGUAGUGUGAAUUGCAGAAUUCAGUGAAUCAUCGAAUCUUUGAACGCACAUUGCGCCCUUUGGUAUUCCAAAGGGCGUGCCUGUUCGAGCGUCAUUUGUACCCUCAAGCUUUGCUUGGUGUUGGGCGUCUUGUCUCUAGCUUUGCUGGAGACUCGCCUUAAAGUAAUUGGCAGCCGGCCUACUGGUUUCGGAGCGCAGCACAAGUCGCACUCUCUAUCAGCAAAGGUCUAGCAUCCAUUAAGCCUUUUUUUCAACUUUUGACCUCGGAUCAGGUAGGGAUACCCGCUGAACUUAAGCAUAUCAAUAAGCGGAGGA
RNAcentral lists this unclassified non-coding RNA (341 nucleotides) under soil metagenome. RNAcentral describes it as "partial contains 5.8S ribosomal RNA, internal transcribed spacer 2, and large subunit ribosomal RNA". The stretch from base 1 to 120 matches the Rfam family "5.8S ribosomal RNA", at positions 35 to 154 of the family's 154-position model. The record is from RNAcentral.